RNAcentral lists this ribosomal RNA (244 nucleotides) under uncultured Actinomycetales bacterium. RNAcentral's name for it is "partial 16S ribosomal RNA". It matches the Rfam family "Bacterial small subunit ribosomal RNA", at positions 89 to 334 of the family's 1533-position model. The record is from RNAcentral. Lineage: Bacteria; Bacillati; Actinomycetota; Actinomycetes; Actinomycetales.
GCUCGAGUGGCGAACGGGUGAGUAACACGUGAGUAACCUGCCCUUGACUUUGGGAUAACUUCAGGAAACUGGGGCUAAUACCGGAUAGGAGCUCCUGCUGCAUGGUGGGGGUUGGAAAGUUUCGGCGGUUGGGGAUGGACUCGCGGCUUAUCAGCUUGUUGGUGGGGUAGUGGCUUACCAAGGCUUUGACAGGUAGCCGGCCUGAGAGGGUGACCGGCCACAUUGGGACUGAGAUACGGCCCAG